This is a long non-coding RNA of Lampris incognitus (smalleye Pacific opah), 150 nucleotides long. RefSeq lists it as uncharacterized. The record is from RefSeq and is a predicted model, not a curated record. The transcript has 3 exons. NCBI's taxonomy places the organism in Eukaryota, Metazoa, Chordata, Actinopteri, Lampriformes, Lampridae.
UUUUAAUGCAUUGAUUCAGCAUCCCAAAGGCAUCUCUUCGUUCUCAGGGCUCCUGUGUGUACCCAAAGUUAAAAAGAAGUCAGCUGGAGGCAGCAGUGGCUGUUUGAAUGGGGUCAUGUGAGUCUCCCUUGUGUGCACGUGCAGUCGGUU